UCUCGGUCUGUCAAACUCCGGCAGGUUUGCCAGUUUUCCUGCACCUACUAGAAACAUGCAGGCAGCAGCGAUGCCCAGAAAAAAGACCAAAACAAAGAAGCAUAAGAAAGAUCGAAAGAAACGCAGACCAUCAACAUCCUCCUCUAAGGAUCAGGUUAAAGAUGACGCAGAGAGACACAGAGGCAGUCGGAGUGACAAUAACAAGCUUGUGAGCAGCAAAAGCACUGACUGUCCACGAUCACCAAGGGAAAUGGGGGCAAAUAGUGGGACGUACAAAACCUCAGACAGAAAAAGCAUGAAGGAUAAAACAGAAGGAAACAAAGAGUCUCAUGACAGCAAGCACAGGGCAUUACACACCUUUGGGAAGCACUCCUCCUCACAACAUUACACAUCUACCUCAACAAAGAGCUCCAGCAGCCAAAUUCCUGAAGCCCUAACCGGAGAGAGGCAUGAGUGGAGGAAGAGUCUGGGUAAAGAGCCAGGAAAGAGACCAGAUGAGGAAGAAGAAAAGAGAAAGAAAGUCAUGAAAAGAAAGGCAUCACAAGAAGACGAUUACCCAGCAACCAAGCGAAGAUCCUGUAACGAAGAGACUGAUGCUGGAAGCAGAGAUAGAAAGGAGUUAGUAGAGAUAGGCUGCAGGAAGUCAACUGAAGAGCGUAUCUCAGGAUGGAAACACAGCAGUCCGGAGAAAAGUCAAAGCCAACACUUGUCUAAAAAAUCUAAAAACCAAUCAUCUGCAGUUACACAAAAUGUCAGAAUGAAAUUGCAGAGUAAGGGACACCCAGAGUCCGUCUAUCCCACUGUCUCUAAAGAAUCAUCGUCUUCGUCACCGUCAUCAUCUUCUACUUCUCUAAAAAUCUCUUUCAAGAUCCCAAAGAAGACUAGUAUUAUAAAGUCACAGACAAGCACAGCCUGUUGGGAAAAUGUUAAAAAGUCUCCCAUCAGCAGUAAGUGUUCUCCUAAGACCAUAGACUCUCCAUCUGUGAAGGUUUCUUCUGAACUAACCAGACCAAAGCCUACAGAGGUUCCUUCUCCAGUUCCUUCCCGUUCUCCUCCUGUCCAGAGGGUGCAGUCGAGUAGAACGGAGGAGACGAGUGUUGCAUGCAGCAGUAAUGCUUUAGUAGAAUGUGCUACGUGUUAUAUUUCAGCGGCGUCCACCGUAAACACUGAUGAUUAUGAGAUGCAGAUAGUUGAGGAGUUACACCUGGCUCGCUCUAACAGACAGCUACACGUGAAAGUGGAGAUGAGUUACGGAGAGCUGACCAGUAUGGACGUAGACCCUGCAGACGAGAGCACCGCCAUCACUGCACUCGGUCAGAAGCAGCAGCAGCAUCAGCAGCAGGUACUCUUCAUUGUGCUCGACACUAAUGUUCUCCUCAGCCACCUGGACUUUGUGAAGAGGAUUAGAUCCCAUGGACUUGGAGCUCUUGGAUUCCCAACUCUCCUAAUUCCCUGGGUCGUUCUACAGGAGCUGGACUCGUUGAAAAGUGGGAAACUGUCAAAGAAUGUUGAAAAGAAAGCCAGACCGGCUGUCAACUACAUCUACACCUCCCUGAAGAACCAAGUGCCACGUCUCUGGGGCCAGUCCAUGCAGCAAGUGUCUCAAGCUUCCUGUGGGCUGAACUCUGAGAAUAACGACGAUCGAGUGCUGCAAUGCUGCCUGCAGUACAAGGCGUUGUAUCCAGAGGGCACUAUCAUUCUGUGCACUAACGAUAAGAACCUGUGCAGUAAAGCUCUCCUGAGCGGAGUCAAGGCCCUGAGUAAAGUCGAUCUAGAGCAGCAGGCAGAAGUAAACCCUGAUCUGUUUCAUCAGCACUAUGACCAGACGUCUGCUUAUACGCAUCCAGCACCAGUUAUACAACACCAGGAAGAGAAGGCACAAAGGUCACGUGAAGAGGUGGAGGCGAGCAGGAAGAAGGAGAAGGAGCGGGAACUGAGCGAGUGUGUGUCCGUGCUGGAGAACAGCCUGCAGAGUGCUCUGUCCGCCAUCCUGGAGGAAGAGAUGAAGGCUGCCUUUGGAGAGCUGUGGCUAGAGAUAGUUUACGUGAAGCCUCCGUGGAGUCUGGAUGCUUUGCUGCAAUGUUUCCGGAAGCACUGGAUCGCCGUGUUUGGAGUCAUUGUCAGAAGAAGUCUGAUCGGUUGUGUGGAGACACUCAGCAGUUUUGUCCACACAGAAGUGUCAGUGGAACGCAGGACCAUUCUGCACACAGUGUCUGUGGCCGAGGAGCUUCUUACCGAGCUGCGCUGCAGGUCUCCGUACGGAGGCCACGUGGACUCGGCCCUCUCCUGCCUCAAGACCUUACAACACCGACUGCAAGCCAAGCCUGAGAAAUCCCCAGUGGUUGACCGAGGUGGUGACACUCUAAUGGCUGAUGCAGUUCAGGAUGUAGCUCUUCCUCCACAAGCUUCUCAUCAGGAAGUGUGGGCUUUAUUCGAAAGCAUCUGGAACAAUGUGUGCCAUGUCAGCUCAGCUGUGUUCUCAGCACUGCACUUCUCUCCAGGCUCAGUGGGCUCAGCAGAGCCACGGUCCACGCCGCCUCCCCAGGAUGCCCUCAGCUGCCUCCACAGACUCAAUGCCACUCUCGAGCAGCUGCUGGAGGCCUUCCAGAGGUUACUGUCUGUGGGCAGCUCUGUAGACGAUGCUCAGGCUCUGCUUACUUUUAUUCACACUAGUGAGAUCGUUGCUAUGGAGCCACGCUUCAGUGCCAAAGACCUGUUUGAGUGCCUGUCUCACCACGAGUACAGCAGUGCUAAUGCUGAGCUUCUCUGGGAUUGACAACAGCAGCUGGAAAGAAAGACGUAUUCCUGACUAAUGCAGAUUCUGUAAUUACUCUUUCACGCUGACGCAACCACUUCCUGUAUAAGAACACAAUGUUUCCUGUUUGCAAGUUGGUGGUGUGGAACGGAAAUCUUUGCUGAGUUGCGUUUCAGAUGGAAGUAGUCACAGAGGACACGACACGUAUCACAAGAUAUUGCUGGAAAUACAAGAAUGCUGUGUGUCUAGAUGCUGUUUUGAGUCCGUUUCAAGAAUCGGGAGAAGCUGUGUAUAGGUGGAGCGCAGAUGAUGGAACUGAGGGAGAACCUCCAUCGCUGCGCAGCCGCCAUGUGUGGUGCGAAAACCUAAAGUCGGCAAACGACCUGGCUCACUCAUUUGUUUACAAAUAAACCAAACCAGAGUGUGUGUGUAUAUAUAUAUAUAUAUAAUCAGUCAGCUGAUUAAUACACUAUAUGAGUGCCUCUAUAUGAGAUCUGAGCUGGUGAGCGUUCUUUAGCGGUUGGAACGCAUUUCUGGUUCGUUCUGCGUUCGUGUGAGGACCAGAUCCCAGUGUUAAACCUGAUUUCUACACUUAAUAUUGCUGCUGUUAGUUCCGGAUGAGUUGCAGAAAAUUGCUUUCUCAUGUUCGUGGCCUGCCCUUUUCUUUUUACUGUAUCUGACCAUUCUGCUGUGAACGCAGGAUGUUUUUUGUUUUUGUUUUUUUUAAAUGUUUUCAUCAAUAGUUGCUGUAGGUGGAGAUCAUUGUGGAAACUACCUCGAAAUAAAAAAUUGCAGCCAUGUUUAAAGACUUAAAAGCCUUAACAUUUGUAAUAAUUAGUCAAAUCUAGUGGGGACCCAUUCGUUCAUUCAUUCAUUUUAUUUAUUUUUUUUUAUUAUUCGGAUUUUAGGGAUACAGCAGGCAUUUACAGUAAAAUGUAACAUAAAGGAUUGAACCACUUACACAUUAUUUCUUCAACCCGCAUUUCAUCCGAAUUUUAUGUCAAGGCUUCACUUCUCUCCGUUCCUCCACAUGUUCAUUUGUUAAAUCUGUUCAUUCACUGAGAAUGUAUAGAUUUAUGCAGGGUUUUUUUUUUUUAGCACUGUUAUACCUGUUAUUGUUGAGCAUGGUUUAUUCUGUUUUCUAUGACAAAUGCAUUUUAUAUCCAUGUUAAAAAAAAUCCAUGCUGUCAUUAAAUCCUAUAUUUAUUUCUGCCUUAAACAGGAGUUGUGUGUGUCAUGUCUUUGCCGUACAACAGAGUCAUGUUUGCCACUGAUUUGAAGACCGAACAGAGAUAGACAGACAGACAGCUGAGACUAGCUGUAAAAGGAUCAGGACGAGGCAGUGGAAGAACGGAGAGAUUACACUGUCUUUCAUUAACAUAGGUAAGAUCUCUGACGCAACUGCAAGAUGAGGUCAUGACAGGAUCCGGCUUUCUCGUCACCACGUGGUCGUCGGAUCACGGCGUAAGCAAGAGUCAAGGCAGGAACUUUAGAGUUUAAAUAAGGUGAGACUCAUUUUCACAGGGUUUAAAGUGUACAUUUAGAAAACAUGACAAAUUAUCUUUAAUUCAUUACAUAUGCAGAUAUAUUCAGGAAAAUAAGCACACUUUAAUAGACCACAAAAAAAAAAAAGAAUAGUGAUAUUCAAGCUUUUUCAAACACAAAGUUUUCAUUUUGUGUGACUUUAAUAUGAUUCAGAAGGAUGUUCAUCAUAGCGAAAGCUCAGUUUAUGGCUAAGUCAGAACCUCUUGGCAGAGGCAAGCAAGACUGCAUGUUGCUCCCAAUCCCGACAAGAUUCUCUGAACCACCAGCACAAAACGUCCCAGAAGAACCACUGAUCCACCUCCAUGUUUACAGAGAACCAGAAGCUUCUGCUUUUCCACACAGUCUUCUUUUGUUGCCAAACAUGCUGCUUGAGCGAAAAUUUUUAUUUUGCAGAAAGCAAGACGGCUUGUGGAACCUUUUCCCUCCUUCCUGUCAAUUUUUUAACAAUUUUUUUUUUUGUUAUUUAUAUGGUACCAAUUGCACUAAAUAUACACUCUGUUACAUGAUCUGUGCAUGAUAGCAAAUCCUUUCGGUCUCCUGAGCACCCUGUUUUCAUAUGUAGAGCAAAUAAAUCAAAGUCCA
Molecule: RNA transcript, 4882 nt
Organism: Hemibagrus wyckioides
Lineage: Eukaryota; Metazoa; Chordata; Actinopteri; Siluriformes; Bagridae
Gene: swt1
Gene name: SWT1 RNA endoribonuclease homolog
Exons: 20
Source: RefSeq, a predicted model, not a curated record